GGGGAGCACCGUAGGGCAGUUGAGGUGGGGAGCACCGUAGGGCAGUUGAGGUGGGGACGCACCCACAAUGUUAAUCUGCCCCGGCAUGUACCGGCCACUGGAUAGGAGGAGUGAGUGGGAACGUGCAGGCCAUCUGAUAGGAGGAGUGAGUGGGAACGUGCAGGCCAUCUGAUAGGAGGAGUGAUGGGAACAUGCAGGCCAUCUGAUAGGAGGAGUGAGUGGGAACGUGCAGGCCAUCUGAUAGGAGGAGUGAGUGGGAACGUGCAGGCCAUCUGAUAGGAGGAGUGAGUGGGAACAUGCAGGCCACUGGAUAGGAGGAGUGAGUGGGAACAUGC
Oncorhynchus tshawytscha (Chinook salmon) is the source of this 335-nucleotide long non-coding RNA. The record is from Ensembl. Lineage: Eukaryota; Metazoa; Chordata; Actinopteri; Salmoniformes; Salmonidae.